UCGGUCGUCCGGGCAGUCGCGGUGCCUUCGGGCACGGAGGAAAGUCCGGUCUCCGCAGGGCAGCGUGCCGGUUAACGGCCGGGAGGCGUUCUCGCAAGGGGGCGUUGACGGAAAGUGCCACAGAAAACAUACCGCCCCGGACUCCGGGGCAAGGGUGAAAUGGUGCGGUAAGAGCGCACCGCGUCGCGGGCAACCGCGACGGCAGGGUAAACCCCACGCGGAGCAAGACCAAAUAGGGGACGACGCGGCUGCCCGUCGCGCCUGAGUCCCGGGUAGGUCGCUAGAGGCGUUUGGCAACAAGCGUUCGAGAUGAAUGGCUGCCACCCGUUUCCGGACGGGUACAGAAACCGGCUUACAGGGCGUCCGGCCCG
RNAcentral lists this RNase P RNA (371 nucleotides) under Bryobacterales bacterium. Its description in RNAcentral is "RNase P RNA component class A". It matches the Rfam family "Bacterial RNase P class A". From Rfam's summary of the family: Ribonuclease P (RNase P) is a ubiquitous endoribonuclease, found in archaea, bacteria and eukarya as well as chloroplasts and mitochondria. Lineage: Bacteria; Pseudomonadati; Acidobacteriota; Terriglobia; Bryobacterales. The record is from RNAcentral.